UAAGUCUCAAAAAUGAGCGCACGAAUUUCAAGAUUGGUUUGCUCAAACGAGCCACCAUCUUGCGGGGGCAUGUUAAGGGAAUAUAAUCCCACAUCGGUAAAAUACCGAAAUAAUGACCAAUAUAUAAAGGAUUGGGACACUCCUCUUAACAAGGUUGACCUUAUUAAGACGGACCCCAAGUCUUAAAAUGGUAUCAGAGCCCAUUAAGCUCCAACGAGCGAUUCGAUCCGAU
Molecule: long non-coding RNA, 232 nt
Filed under: Olea europaea (common olive)
Lineage: Eukaryota; Viridiplantae; Streptophyta; Magnoliopsida; Lamiales; Oleaceae
Description: long non-coding RNA (OEUR_LNC012812)
Source: RNAcentral